RNAcentral lists this ribosomal RNA (321 nucleotides) under uncultured bacterium. RNAcentral's name for it is "bacterial SSU rRNA". It matches the Rfam family "Bacterial small subunit ribosomal RNA", at positions 1074 to 1401 of the family's 1533-position model. The record is from RNAcentral.
GGGGGCUAGUCCGCACGAGCGCACCCUUGUCACUAGUUGCCAUCAUUUGGUUGGGCACUCUAGUGAGACUGCCGGUGACAAACCGGAGGAAGGUGGGGAUGACGUCAAGUCCUCAUGGCCCUUAUGGGUAGGGCUUCACACGUCAUACAAUGGUCGGUACAGAGGGUUGCCAAGCCGCGAGGUGGAGCCAAUCCCUUAAAGCCGAUCGUAGUCCGGAUCGUAGUCUGCAACUCGACUACGUGAAGUCGGAAUCGCUAGUAAUCGCAGAUCAGCAUGCUGCGGUGAAUACGUUCCCGGGUCUUGUACACACCGCCCGAUAAA